AAAUAACCAUGUCCUGCUCUUUUUCCACUUUCUUUUUGUUAUUUAAUUAACCAGGACUGGUCUAGUUAUUGUUGCAACUGGAAUGUUGAUUGCAAGCAAGCCUUAUCUAGAUAAAUUACGGAGUCAAGAUGAGCAAAAUAAUGUACAGAUUGCCAAACCUUGUGUGAAGAUGGACGAUGAAUAAAAUAUUGUGAAAAUGUAACUAUUGCAUUAUAUAUACUUUACAGUGAAAAUACAAAAAGUUUUGACCCGCUUCUGUAAUUUGUUACAAGUGAUUUACUUUAAUUUGUUCUGUUUUUCUGUAGCGAUUACCAAUUUAUUGGCAAAUACCACGAUAAAACUUAGUUUUCUCUAUUUUUAAUAUAUGAUAAUUUGUAACAAAGGGAAAUAAUAAUUUUUUGUUAGUUUCAUUGCAUAAAAGGUGCGAAAUUUAAAUUUUAUCGCAGUAUUAAUUAGCCGAUAAAUUUAUUGGUAAUCACUACAGAAAAACAGAACAAAUGACAGUAAAUUGCAACAAACUACAGUCUAAGCGGAAGUAGGACACUUUUUGUAUUUUCAUUGUAACCAUCGCAACAGUUGUAUGCAGUUUGGCCUUUGUAAUUGUCCUGAUGGAAACAAGAAUUUGGUUGGGCAGAUUGCACUGACAGAUGAUUCUGAAAAAUCUGGGAAUUCUCUCCCCCACCCACUGUCAACAAGAAUUUUGGGAAAUAUAAAACAGGAAAAGAGUUGGUUGGGCAAUAUUAAUUAGCCAUUCCAAAGUUGAUGAGAGGACUGGGGACAAGUGUUAAAAAGUGCCCAAAUUAAGAAAUCAAGCAAAUCACUAAAAAGACCACCUCAAAAUUAGUAAGUAUACAAAGUUUGAAGACGUUUACAUCAAUACCCUUCGAAUAAUAAGCUUUCGAAAAUUGCGAUAUUUACUAUGAAAUGUACUGUGUUUUUUUUUGUUAGUGAGGAUGUGCGUCCCAAAAACAGUCUUUUAAUCGGUAAUUUCACAAUUUUCGAAAGCUUAUUAUUUGAAGGGUAUUCAUGUAAAUGUUUUCAAACUUCGUAUACUUACUAAUUUUGAGGUGGUCUUUUUAGUGAUUCCGUUCAUUGGGUCAUUCCAGAAAACAUCCAUACCACCCCCACAGAGGAAAUAGGAAGUUUAACCCCCUACCCCCUUCAGAUGUCCUAAUACAUUUACUAUUAUCAGAAACAAUUUUUUCUCCCCUCCCCCUCCGGACGGCAGAAAUUUCCUCCGUGGGGGGGGGGGAAUAUGGAUGUUUUCUGGAACGACCCAUUUCUUAAUUUGGGCACUUUUUAACACUCGUUUCCAGUCCACUCAUCAACUUCGGAAUGGCUAAUAGAGUUGACAAAAGAGUAGAUUUCAGACCUGGGGGAAUAAAGUCUGUUUACUUUAGUAAUGAAAGAUUUAUCAUCUUUUUUAAUUGUAGAUUAGUUUGAAAAUGAGAGGACAGAAAGAAAGAUUGUAAACAAACAAUAGGAAUCAGAACGAAGAUAGGUCAAUGAGAUAUUUAUAAUAUAUCCUUUUCCUUCUAAUAAUGUUACUUUUGUCUUCAUUUCAUCACAUGUUAAUUGUUUGGGUCAGGUUUUAAAACAUUUUUACAUGUCCGAUGACUUUGAAUUUGGAUCGGACAUAUGUACGACGAUGUCCGAUGACCUUCAGUUUAGUGUAGCUCGGAAAUAAGUCUGAAUUAUGCAAAUUAAUAUUAGCACAAUGUAUUAAUGUUGUGAAGAGAUAAGUUGUAUCAUUCUUACUUAUUUCCAAGCCAAAAUUAACUUGCUUGCCAAUAACAGCAGUAAUAGUGACAUAGACAACUUAAGCCCAUUUUCCACUUCACCUGCCCUCGAUUACAUUAAAAUAACAUUUCUGGUUCACUUUUUAUACAUCACUCUGAUUCUCCAUUUAACAUACGAAAAUCUAAGUAAAACUUUAUCAAGAUGAAAUAUUUAUCCUAUAAGGCUAUAUGCAAUACUGAUUAAACAUUUUUCUCUCGAAAUAUUCUCCUUGAAUUAUUUAUGAUUUUUUGAGAUAUCUUUUUUAAGAUUAUGUCCAAUUUAUUAUGCAAAAAUUGCAAAAAAUAUGCCACAAUAUAAGUGAAUUAAUUAAUU
This is a non-coding RNA of Paramuricea clavata, 2112 nucleotides long. NCBI's taxonomy places the organism in Eukaryota, Metazoa, Cnidaria, Anthozoa, Malacalcyonacea, Plexauridae. The record is from the annotation of a GenBank genome assembly.